UAGCUAGUUGGUGAGGUAAAGGCUUACCAAGGCGACGAUCUGUAGCGGGUCUGAGAGGAUGAUCCGCCACACUGGAACUGAGACACGGUCCAGACUCCUACGGGAGGCAGCAGUGGGGAAUUUUGGACAAUGGGGGCAACCCUGAUCCAGCCAUGCCGCGUGAGUGAAGAAGGCCUUCGGGUUGUAAAGCUCUUUCGGCCGGGAAGAAAUCGCAUGGGCCAAUACCCUGUGUGGAUGACGGUACCGGAAUAAGAAGCACCGGCUAACUACGUGACAGCAGCCGCGGUAAUACGUAGGGUGCGAGCGUUAAUCGGAAUUACUGGGCGUAAAGCGUGCGCAGGCGGUUUUGUAAGACAGGCGUGAAAUCCCCGGGCUUAACCUGGAACUGCGUUUGUGACUGCAAGGCUAGAGUACGGCAGAGGGGGGUGGAAUUCCACGUGUAGCAGUGAAAUGCGUAGAGAUGUGGAGGAACACCAAUGGCGAAGGCAGCCCCCUGGGUCGAUACCGACGCUCAUGCACGAAAGCGUGGGUAGCAAACAGGAUUAGAUACCCUGGUAGUCCACGCCCUAAACUAUGUCAACUAGGUGUUGGGUGGGUAAAACCAUUUAGUACCGUAGCUAACGCGUGAAGUUGGCCGCCUGGGGAGUACGGCCGCAAGGUUAAAACUCAAAAUUGACGGGGACCCGCACAAGCGGUGGAUGAUGUGGAUUAAUUCGAUGCAACGCGAAAAACCUUACCUACCCUUGACAUGCCAGGAACUUGCCGGAGAUGGCUUGGUGCCCGAAAGGGAGCCUGGACACAGGUGCUGCAUGGCUGUCGUCAGCUCGUGUCGUGAGAUGUUGGGUUAAGUCCCGCAACGAGCGCAACCCUUGUCGUUAAUUGCCAUCAUUUAGUUGGGCACUUUAACGAGACUGCCGGUGACAAACCGGAGGAAGGUGGGGAUGACGUCAAGUCCUCAUGGCCCUUAUGGGUAGGGCUUCACACGUCAUACAAUGGUCGGUACAAAGGGUUGCCAAGCCGCGAGGCGGAGCCAAUCCCAGAAAGCCGAUCGUAGUCCGGAUUGCAGGCUGCAACUCGCCUGCAUGAAGUCGGAAUCGCUAGUAAUCGUGGAUCAGCAUGUCACGGUGAAUACGUUCCCGGGUCUUGUACACACCGCCCGUCACACCAUGGGAGCGGGUUCCGCCAGAAGUAGGUAGCCUAACCGCAAGGGGGGCGCUUACCACGGCGGGGUUCGUGACUGGGGUGAAGUCGAACAAGGUAGCCGUAGGGGAACCUGCGGCUG
Molecule: ribosomal RNA, 1282 nt
Filed under: metagenome
Description: bacterial SSU rRNA
Rfam family: Bacterial small subunit ribosomal RNA
Source: RNAcentral